GGGACACGUGGUAUCCUGUCUGAAUAUGGGGGGACCAUCCUCCAAGGCUAAAUACUCCUGACUGACCGAUAGUGAACCAGUACCGUGAGGGAAAGGCGAAAAGAACCCCGGCGAGGGGAGUGAAAAAGAACCUGAAACCGUGUACGUACAAGCAGUGGGAGCACGCUUAGGCGUGUGACUGCGUACCUUUUGUAUAAUGGGUCAGCGACUUAUAUUCUGUAGCAAGGUUAACCGAAUAGGGGAGCCGAAGGGAAACCGAGUCUUAACUGGGCGUUAAGUUGCAGGGUAUAGACCCGAAACCCGGUGAUCUAGCCAUGGGCAGGUUGAAGGUUGGGUAACACUAACUGGAGGACCGAACCGACUAAUGUUGAAAAAUUAGCGGAUGACUUGUGGCUGGGGGUGAAAGGCCAAUCAAACCGGGAGAUAGCUGGUUCUCCCCGAAAGCUAUUUAGGUAGCGCCUCGUGAAUUCAUCUCCGGGGGUAGAGCACUGUUUCGGCAAGGGGGUCAUCCCGACUUACCAACCCGAUGCAAACUGCGAAUACCGGAGAAUGUUAUCACGGGAGACACACGGCGGGUGCUAACGUCCGUCGUGAAGAGGGAAACAACCCAGACCGCCAGCUAAGGUCCCAAAGUCAUGGUUAAGUGGGAAACGAUGUGGGAAGGCCCAGACAGCCAGGAUGUUGGCUUAGAAGCAGCCAUCAUUUAAAGAAAGCGUAAUAGCUCACUGGUCGAGUCGGCCUGCGCGGAAGAUGUAACGGGGCUAAACCAUGCACCGAAGCUGCGGCAGCGACGCUUAUGCGUUGUUGGGUAGGGGAGCGUUCUGUAAGCCUGUGAAGGUGUGCUGUGAGGCAUGCUGGAGGUAUCAGAAGUGCGAAUGCUGACAUAAGUAACGAUAAAGCGGGUGAAAAGCCCGCUCGCCGGAAGACCAAGGGUUCCUGUCCAACGUUAAUCGGGGCAGGGUGAGUCGACCCCUAAGGCGAGGCCGAAAGGCGUAGUCGAUGGGAAACAGGUUAAUAUUCCUGUACUUGGUGUUACUGCGAAGGGGGGACGGAGAAGGCUAUGUUGGCCGGGCGACGGUUGUCCCGGUUUAAGCGUGUAGGCUGGUUUUCCAGGCAAAUCCGGAAAAUCAAGGCUGAGGCGUGAUGACGAGGCACUACGGUGCUGAAGCAACAAAUGCCCUGCUUCCAGGAAAAGCCUCUAAGCAUCAGGUAACAUCAAAUCGUACCCCAAACCGACACAGGUG
RNAcentral lists this ribosomal RNA (1244 nucleotides) under Escherichia coli. Its description in RNAcentral is "partial 23S ribosomal RNA". It matches the Rfam family "Bacterial large subunit ribosomal RNA", at positions 419 to 1665 of the family's 2925-position model. The record is from RNAcentral. Lineage: Bacteria; Pseudomonadati; Pseudomonadota; Gammaproteobacteria; Enterobacterales; Enterobacteriaceae.